This 3413-nucleotide small RNA is filed under the name Pongo abelii (Sumatran orangutan). RNAcentral's name for it is "retained intron". Lineage: Eukaryota; Metazoa; Chordata; Mammalia; Primates; Hominidae. The record is from RNAcentral.
AUAUAAAAAUUAGCUGGGCAUGCUGGCACAUGCCUGUAGUCCGAGCUCCUCGGACACUGAGGCUCAAGAAUCACUUGAACCUUGGAGGCGGAGAUUGCUGUGAACUGAAGUCAUGCUACUGUACUCCAGCCUGGGUGACAGAGGGAGACUCUAUCCACCCCCCUCCCCCCCAAAAAAAAAGCUAAGAAAUGGAUUUUAUUGCUCAGUGUCAACAGUUUUGUGUGUGUAUUCAUCUUAAGUACAAAACAGAUAUUAAUCAUGCCACAACUCAGGUAUACAAAAGAAUAUAACUUUAAAAAGUUAGUAAUUAAACUUAAUAUCUAUUUUAAGCCCCUAUUUAUUCUACUGGAUUAUAGACACCAAAUUUCACCUAAUUCAAGGUUUCUUUAUUCCCUUUUCUCUGGGAUUAUAUAUAAUGUAGAGGGGACUAAUGGUAUGCCAGUACUGGUGAUAUGGGGUGACGUGAUUCUCAUCUGUCUGUGCUACAAUCUGCUGAGGUGUUUUCAUUUGCAUCUGGUCUUUGUCAGAUUUGUGCAAGUUCCUGCUACAACUUUUGACCCUGUUCAGGCCACUGGCUCUCUUGUUUCCUGUCCAUGCUGCACUGAGCGCUUUGGAAUACCAUUAUGUAUCUCAAGCUGUCUUGGGUGUCGGAGAAGAGCUUUGUGGGACUGAAGACCCAUUUCUGCUUAAACAUAAUCAUGCAGACAUUCUGAUUGCUUCAUUGUAAUACCUUGUACAGAAGGAACUCUGUGAAGGUCUGCCUCUUCAGACAAUCAGGGUUUAGGGCAAAAGGUCUCUUCUGCUGUUUGAUUUUCAAACCUGCCUUGGAGUUCCUGUUGUUCUUCCUGCUAGGGAGGAUUCAACUUGCAUGAAACAGAAUGCAGGGUGCUUUUUUAGGGAUCCCAUUAAUCCUGAGCGCUGUUAGCUUUCAUUCUGGCUUUUCUUUUCCCUAAUGCAUCCUAUUGAGACUUUGUCUAGUGUAGGAUGUAAAAAAGCCUGAUGCAUGUAGUAUUCCAAAUCUUUAGUCUUGAAUACUAAUUUCAGCUUUUAAAACUCGGUACCAGCACUCAGAAAUUUUCUGUUUUGCUGGGCAUGCCAUCUGUGAUACGAUGAGUAUUCCUGACUAAAUGGGAGGGUAGUACCUUGAUUUCUCAAAGUAUUUUCCCAUCACAGAUACAAGUACAUAGGAAAAUAUAAUUCCUUAUUUGGUUUUCCUUUUUAAUACAGAGGGUUUAUAAUAUAGUGUGUUUAAUAACCUUUAAUACUGGAUUAUAAAUUUUUUGACAGCAAGUACUAAGUCUUACUUGUUUCUAUAUUCAUCAAAGUGAUCAACUAGAGGGUGCCCAGUGACUUGGUUUAUUGUGACAUUAACAAUACAAGGUUAAACUUGCUAUGAUCAGGUAAAUAGGGUAGUUUAUUAAGGCUGGCUGGUCCAGCUUCCCUGGUCAACUAACACUGGCCUGAAAAAUAAAAUAAUUUGUGGUUGUCAGAUACUAAAUUAAAUGAUCUGAGUACUACUGCAACUUAUUAAAGGACUUUUAUUCCAUUUCUAGAAGAAAGAAAACACUGGAUUACCAAAGGCUUUUCUGGUCUCCCCUUCUAUUCUUUAGGUCUUCCCAAAAGUUAUCUCCUGGGAAAAUGCCAAUACCUGAUCACGACUCUGGUGUUGAAGAUGAAGAUUUUUCUCCAAGACCAAUUCCUAGUCCUCAUCCAGUGAGUCAGAAGAUUUCUAAGAUCCAACCAUCAGUUCCUGAACUUUCGCUUGUGUUGGAUGGCAAUUUCAUAGAAUCAAACCCUCUGCCUACUCCAUUGGAAAUGGUGAAUAAUGAAAAUCCUCCUUUGAUUAACCACUCGGAACACUUGAAGCCAUUGCAACCCCAGCUUUAUGAUGAGAAACGCAGUCCAGAAGUUGAAGCUGGAGAGCCUUCCUUGAGAGGAACACCAAAUCAGUUAAACCAGGAUAAACCAGCUCUUUUGAGACACUGCAAAGUAAGACAGCCACCUGCCUGUAAGAAAGGGAACCCCCAUACCAGGAACAGUGUAAAACCAUCUUCUCAUAAUGGGCCAUCUCAUGAUAUAUUUGAAAAGCUCCAAACAGUUUCUGCUGGAAAUGUACAAAACGAAGAGUAUCCUAUAAGACCCUCCACACUUAAUUCUAGGCAGUCUUCUCUUGCCCCGCAGUCCCAACCACACAAUUUUGUUUUUUCACCCCAUAAUUCAGGAAGACCAAUGGAACUUCAGAUACCUACUCCCCCACCACCAUCUUACUGUUCCACAAAGGUUUGCAGGUGUUGUCAGCAUCAUAGUCAUAUUCAAUAUAGUCCACUAUAUUCUUGGCAAGGAGCAAACACAGUUGGAUCCAUUCAAGACGUCCAGUCUGAAGCCCUUCAAAAGCAUUCAUUAUUUCACCCAAGUGGAUGUCCAGCCCUGUACUGUAAUGCAUUCUGUUCUUCAAGUAGUCCUGUAGCCUUGAGACCUCAGGGAGGUAUGGACAGUUGUUCUCCCCACAGCAAUAUUGAACCAUCGCCUGUGGCAAGACCGCCUUCACAUAUGGACUCAUGUAACCCACAGCCUUGCACAGUGUGCAUGCACACACCCAAGACUGAGUCAGAUAAUGGAAUGAUGGGACUAUCUCCAGAUGCAUAUCGAUUCCUCACAGAACAAGACAGACAGCUAAGAUUACUUCAGGCACAGAUUCAGCGUUUGUUGGAAGCACAGUCUCUGACGCCCUGUUCCCCUAAGACAACCACUGUUGAAGAUACAGUGCAAGCUGGAAGACAAAUGGAGUUGAUUUCCGUGGAAGCACAGUCUUCCCCUGGCUUGCACAUGAGAAAAAGUGUAAGCAUUGCUGUGAGCACAGGUGCUAGCUUGUUUUGGAAUGCAGCAGGUGAGGAUCAAGAGCCUGACUCUCAACUGAAGCAAGAUGAUACCAAAAUUUCCAGUGAGGACAUGAAUUUUUCUGUUGAUAUUAAUAAUGAAGUCACAAGUCUUCCAGGUAGUGCAUCUUCAUUAAAAGCAGUCGAUAUUCCCAGUUUUGAAGAGAGCAACAUUGCUGUGGAAGAAGAAUUUAACCAGCCACUUUCUGUAUCCAACUCUUCUCUAGUUGUGAGAAAAGAACCUGAUGCACCUGUGUUCUUUCCAAAUGGCCAGCUGGCAGAAAGUGUAAGCAUGUGUUUACAGACUGGACCAACAGGGGGUGCCAGUAACAAUUCUGAAACAUCAGGGGAACCAAAAAUUGAGCAAGUAAUGCAACCCUUGCUUCAUCAACCAUCAGCUAACCAGAAAAUUUACCAGGAUUUAUUGGGUCAAGUAAACCACCUAUUAAAUAGUUCCUCCAAGGAAACUGAGCAGCCGUCUACCAAAGCAGUAAUUAUCAGUCAUGAAUGCACCAGAACCCAAAAUGUUUACCAUAC